UCUGGGAAACUGGAAUUAAUACCGUAUACGCCCUACGGGGGAAAGAUUUAUCGGGGAAGGAUUGGGCCGCGUUGGAUUAUUCUAUGUUGGUGGGGUAACGGCCUACCCAGGCGACGAUCCAUAGCUGGUCUGAGAGGAUGAUCAGCCACAUUGGGACUGAGACACGGCCCAGACUCCUACGGGAGGCAGCAGUGGGGAAUAUUGAACAAUGGGCGCAAGCCUGAUCCAGCCAUGCCGCGUGAGUGAUGAAGGCCUUAGGGUUGUAAAGCUCUUUCACCGAUGAAGAUAAUGACGGUAGUCGGAGAAGAAGCCCCGGCUAACUUCGUGCCAGCAGCCGCGGUAAUACGAAGGGGGCUAGCGUUGUUCGGAAUUACUGGGCGUAAAGCGCACGUAGGCGGAUAUUUAAGUCAGGGGUGAAAUCCCAGAGCUCAACUCUGGAACUGCCUUUGAUACUGGGUAUCUUGAGUAUGGAAGAGGUAAGUGGAAUUGCGAGUGUCGAGGUGAAAUUCGUAGAUAUUCGCAGGAACACCAGUGGCGAAGG
This 541-nucleotide ribosomal RNA is filed under the name Rhizobium sp. Mle. Its description in RNAcentral is "bacterial SSU rRNA". It matches the Rfam family "Bacterial small subunit ribosomal RNA", at positions 148 to 721 of the family's 1533-position model. The record is from RNAcentral. Lineage: Bacteria; Pseudomonadati; Pseudomonadota; Alphaproteobacteria; Hyphomicrobiales; Rhizobiaceae.